CUUCGCGGACUGCUGCCCUCGCACGUAACAACAGCGUCACUGUUUCUCCUCGCUGCCAUGGCUGCGAUCACAAACUCCAGCACGUUGCUUCUUCUCCGUCGAGUUGAUGCUGCCAUGGUCGCGUCACUGUUGGUCCCUGGUUCUUCUUCUCCUUCGUGGGCUGCUGCUGCUUCAGUUCACGUCAUCGCCAAACACCCCUCCAUCGAGCUUCGUCCAUUGUUUAAGUUUCCGGGCAGAUUCGAGUGAUUUUGGUGCAAUAAUUAUUUUCGGACAGAUUUGUUUCCGUUCGAGUUCGUCGUCACUUCGAGCCGGUUAGUGGUUUGAAUUUUAUUUUGUCCGUAUUUUUGUUUUGAUAUUCCCGGAUCUAAAAUCGAUAAAUGUUUGAUUCUUGUUUUGUUCAUGUGUUUUAUUGGUUUAAUUUUUAAUUGAAAUUUAAUUAAUUACUUUUCAGUUUGUUUCAUAUGUUUUUUUUUGUAAAUAAAAAUUGUUAGUUUAAUUUUAAUGUUGUUAGAUUCAAAUUGAAAAUGUUAGUUUAAUUUUAAUAUAAAAGAAAUUGUUAGUUUAAUUUUAGUUUAAAUUUGUAAAAAAAAAAGGAAUUGUUAGUUUAAUUUUAAUAUUGUUGGAUUUAGUUUAAUCGCUCGAAUCAUCCGUCUUUUGUUGAUUAGUUUAGAUUAAAUUCGUGUUCAUCUUUUGGUUGAAGUUCGUUCUUAAUCUAGUGAUUUAAUGUGAAUUUAUAUUUUAAAUGCUUGAUUUAAUUUGAAUAUUCAUCUUGGUUGUAAUGUUGUUGGAUUUAGUUUAAAGAUUAAUUGGUUAUUGAAUUUAGAAAUUCAAAUCUACUUGUUGGUUGUGUUCAAUUUGUUAAUAUUGUUAAAUCUGCAAAUAUAUGUGUUGUUAAGAAUAUCGUUCAGUAAAAAUAAUUCCGAUUGUUGAUUUGUUGUUCAUAGUUUAAGUUUAAAUUCGUUAAUUGAACUGGAUUAAGGAUUGGUUAUAGCUGGUAAUUUAAUUUUAGGUUCUUAAAUAAUUUUGAAGUUGAACAGAUUUUUGAAUCGAGGCGUAAUAGUAGUUUUAGGGGGUAAAACGGGAAUUAACCAAUUACAGAUUAUUUAAUUAUGGUGGGGACCAGAUAUAAUGAUAAAAGCAAAAAGGAAAAGGUGGAUAAUGAUGUCUUCUUUUCAAAAAGAGGGAACAUGGUGACCCACUUUGACUACUUUUCAAAAGGAGGGAACAUGGGGGCCCAUGUUGACUACUUUUAUUAAAGUAAAAGUGUAGGUAAUAAUAAAAAGUUAAAGGGUGCACAUAGUGGAAGAAUAUUGGGUUAAUAAAGUAAAAAAAAAGGGAAAGAGGUAAAAGGGGUCUUGUUUUUGUAUAAAAGGAUGACUCAUUUGACACUUAAAAAAGGGAGAAUUUUGGGAGAGAAAAAUUUCAGAACUAAAGAGGAGAUAAGAACAUACUUUUAAUCUUGAGGAAGAGGAUUCCUAAAAGAUCCGAAUACUAUUUCCGUGUAUUCCUGAGGGUGAUCUCUGCCUCCGGUUUGCUUCCGGGAUUUUCAAUUGGCUUCUUGAGUUAACUGUUGGUCCUUUGUUAUUGCUUUAUUGAGGGGUUGCUGGAAUUUCUGUUUGGUUUUCAAGUCUACUGCUGGGUUUUCUGACUGCUGGUUGUUUGUUGUUGAUGCGCUGUUUCUACUGCUGCUGAUCCUAUUCUUCCUUUCCAGGUACACGACUGUAAUACCUGAUCCUAUUCAAAUACCAGGUACACGACUGUAAUACUAGCUAUUGCAAGCUCAAAAAUGUGAAAGCAUGAAUACAUGAAGAAUGGAACUUUGAAGUUUUAAUUUUGCUUUUUCUUCGUUUCUUUUACUGAUUGUAUUUAGGCUAUUUCAUGUAUUACUGUUUAAUAAUUGGAAUAAGAGAAAAAUAACAUAAGUUGGUC
Molecule: long non-coding RNA, 1929 nt
Filed under: Nicotiana tabacum (common tobacco)
Lineage: Eukaryota; Viridiplantae; Streptophyta; Magnoliopsida; Solanales; Solanaceae
Description: long non-coding RNA (NTAB_LNC010215)
Source: RNAcentral